This 500-nucleotide ribosomal RNA is filed under the name Companilactobacillus farciminis. Its description in RNAcentral is "bacterial SSU rRNA". It matches the Rfam family "Bacterial small subunit ribosomal RNA", at positions 62 to 550 of the family's 1533-position model. The record is from RNAcentral. Lineage: Bacteria; Bacillati; Bacillota; Bacilli; Lactobacillales; Lactobacillaceae.
UGAAGCUUGCUUCUUGAUUCAGAUUUUGGUGAGUGGCGGACGGGUGAGUAACACGUGGGUAACCUGCCCAAAAGUGGGGGAUAACAUUUGGAAACAAGUGCUAAUACCGCAUAACAACUGCUUUCACAUGAUCGCAGCUUGAAAGAUGGCUCUGCUAUCGCUUUUGGAUGGACCCGCGGCGUAUUAGCUAGUUGGUGAGGUAAUAGCUCACCAAGGCAAUGAUACGUAGCCGACCUGAGAGGGUAAUCGGCCACAUUGGGACUGAGACACGGCCCAAACUCCUACGGGAGGCAGCAGUAGGGAAUCUUCCACAAUGGGCGAAAGCCUGAUGGAGCAAUGCCGCGUGAGUGAAGAAGGUUUUCGGAUCGUAAAACUCUGUUGUUGAAGAAGAACAUGCGUGAGAGUAACUGUUCACGUACUGACGGUAUUCAACCAGAAAGCCACGGCUAACUACGUGCCAGCAGCCGCGGUAAUACGUAGGUGGCAAGCGUUGUCCGGAU